UACGGGGGGGGCAAGCGUUGUUCGGAAUUACUGGGCGUAAAGGGCUCGUAGGCGGCCAACUAAGUCAGACGUGAAAUCCCCAGGCUCAACCUGGGAACUGCGUCUGAUACUGGAUGGCUUGAAUUCGGGAGAGGGAUGCAGAAUUCCAGGUGUAGCGGUGAAAUGCGUAGAGAUCGGGAGGAACACCGGUGGCGAAGGCGGGUCUCUGGGCAUCUCCUGACGCUGAGGCGCGAAAGCGUGGGGAGCAAACGGG
This 253-nucleotide ribosomal RNA is filed under the name uncultured bacterium. RNAcentral's name for it is "partial 16S ribosomal RNA". It matches the Rfam family "Bacterial small subunit ribosomal RNA", at positions 524 to 776 of the family's 1533-position model. The record is from RNAcentral.